UAGACACUCUGUCUGCCAGGAACUCAAGAUUGUUAGACACUCUGUCUGCCAGGAACUCAAGGCUGUUAGACACUCUGUCUGCCAAGAACUCAAGGUUGUUAGACACUCUGUCUGCCAGGAACUCAAGGUUGUUAGACACUCUGUCUGCCAGGAACUCAAGGCUGUUAGACACUCUGUCUGCCAGGAAUUCAAGGGUGUUAGACACCAUGUCAGCCAGGAACUCAAGGCUGUUAGACACUCUGUCUGCCAGGAACUCAAGGUUGUUAGACACUCUGUCUGCC
Oncorhynchus tshawytscha (Chinook salmon) is the source of this 281-nucleotide long non-coding RNA. NCBI's taxonomy places the organism in Eukaryota, Metazoa, Chordata, Actinopteri, Salmoniformes, Salmonidae. The record is from Ensembl.